Molecule: long non-coding RNA, 286 nt
Filed under: Meleagris gallopavo (turkey)
Lineage: Eukaryota; Metazoa; Chordata; Aves; Galliformes; Phasianidae
Description: lncRNA (ENSMGAG00000018664.1)
Source: RNAcentral
GCUGUGUCACAUUAAUCAUAGGGCUGCUCUCUGUAAAGCAAACUCCUCUCUUUCAGCAGCCUGAGGAGCUCCGGAGGUGGGGAGGUGCUGCCUGUGGUCAGCUCUGCGCUGUGCUGCUCUGCUCUCUGGGAGAUGCAGUACUGCUCACUGCAAAUGAAGAGGAACGUAGCAUCCUCAGGGCAUUAAAGCAAAUAUAAAAAGUAAGAAUCCCAGACCAGAGCUUUCAAGGACUGUUCAAACUUUUAUUCAUAACACAGCUGUUGAGUGAAGGGGGGGAAAAAAAAGA